Molecule: ribosomal RNA, 575 nt
Filed under: uncultured rumen bacterium
Lineage: Bacteria
Description: bacterial SSU rRNA
Rfam family: Bacterial small subunit ribosomal RNA
Source: RNAcentral
GGCAGCAGCUAAGAAUAUUCCGCAAUGGACGAAAGUCUGACGGAGCGACGCCGCGUGGAUGAUGAAGGCCGGAAGGUUGUAAAAUCCUUUUAUGACUGAGGAAUAAGGAAGUUGAGAGAAACGGCUUCUGGUGACUGUAGGUCAUGAAUAAGCAACGGCUAAUUACGUGCCAGCAGCCGCGGUAACACGUAAGUUGCGAGCGUUGUUCGGAAUUAUUGGGCGUAAAGGGCAUGUAGGCGGUUCUGCAAGUCUGGUGUGAAAUACCGGGGCUCAACCCCGGAACUGCGUUGGAAACUGCAGAACUUGAGUCGCUGAGGGGCAGCCAGAAUUCCAGGUGUAGGGGUGAAAUCUGUAGAUAUCUGGAAGAAUACCAAUGGCGAAGGCAGGCUGCCAGCAGAUGACUGACGCUGAGGUGCGAAGGUGCGGGGAGCAAACAGGAUUAGAUACCCUGGUAGUCCGCACAGUCAACUAUGUACACUAGGUGUCCGUUCAUGAGAAUGGGUGCCGAAGCAAACGCGAUAAGUGUACCGCCUGGGGAGUAUGCCCGCAAGGGUGAAACUCAAAGGAAUUGACGG